CCCCACUCCCCUACCCCACCCCGAGUCUCCUCUGAGGCUUCCUUGCCCUUGAACCAGCAAGUGGAAGUGUGGCCCAUUUGAAUGGAUGACGGUGAUACGCUGCUGGAAGCGAGGGCGAUGGGUCUGCUCAGCGGUGGGCAAAGCGCUAGGGGUGUUGGAGGACAGGGUUCAAAUGCCCAGCUCAGUUGUGAAAUCUUGGCAAAACUUUGGGCAAGUCACUGGUCUGCUCUGCAGCUCAGCCUCCACAGGGGCAAACAGCAAGAGGCUGGAGAGGCGCUCUGUGGCCCCGCCCCAUCAGGUCAAGGAGCAUGCGCCAACAGCUCCGCAGGGUUGAGCAAGGCGAGGCUCACUCAAUGAAUGAGAGAAGGCAGCCUGGCUCUCAGGGGACUCACAGGCCGUCUGGAUAGGAGCGAAGAGUGUCCACAGUAUGGUGCGACAGAACACAGCACAGGAUCAGGAGCCAUAGUGAGCAGCCAGACACUCCGUGCUCGUGCAGGGGUAGGGGUGGUGGCGGCAGGCUGGAGUCCUCUGCGCCAGCUUCUUGCAAGAGGGUCCGCUUGUGGCCCCACGCUGGGGAUGACAUGGCUUGGGGAGCCCCACACCUGCUCCUGCCACCUGUCCUCCUGGUGCUCCUGGCCUCAGGUUCCUGGGGAAAGACAGUCAUGCCUGAAGAGUUUCAUGAAGUGGCGGGGCAGACACUCUCCGUGCAGUGGCAGUACCCUCUCGAGGGAGGGCCCUACAACAGGAGAACUCGGUGUCAGCAGACAUCUUCACAUGAGUGUACCUGAUCAGUCACCAGCUCCAAGCUCCCGACAGCAGCUCAGGACUCUUGACACAUGAUCUGGGAUGCAUUGGGUGCUGGCCUCUUCAUCAUCACCAUGAUUCAGCGGACGGAGGAGGACUUCGGGUCCUAAUGGUCUAGAAGCUACAACUCUUCCAGGAACUUGGUCACUAUUCUCAGAAACAUCAGCCUGGUCUUGUCUCCGGAAGAGCUCCUUUCUUAAGGAAAUGCCCCCUCCCUCCCAGGCCUGCGGGAAAUGUCACUCACCCACUUUGUGUGACUCCAUCACCCCAGAUCCUACCAGGUCUUCUGCUCUGAUCCAAGGGGAGCGGGGGCCCUGGUCUCCAGAGAUGGGCUCUCACCUCUUCUCCACUUUGCCAGUCCUGGCCCCAACUAGUAGGAAGCCCCAACCACUUUCCUGUGUGGACCCCCACCUCACUCCUACCAAGUACAGUUCUGAUCAUUUCUCCAGAGGGGACCUCUGGCCCAUCUUCCCUCAAUGGCUCUGAGCACAGCCCUACAGGUGUGAGGAGGAGCCUGCUGGAAUUCAGAGCCCAGCAUCUUACGAGUCAUCCAAGUCAUCGCAGCUGAGGAAACGAGGCCCAGAGAUCGCAUGGGGCCUGUCCCAAACCGUCACCCGGACACUUAGGAGCAGAGACAGGGCAAAGCCCAGGCUCCUGACUGCUGGGUCCCGAGAGCCCUCCUUGGGCCCCUCUAGGUGGUCCUUACACCUUGUGUGCCCAGCUCUGAUUCUGGGUCCUUCUCCCCCCCACCUCACCCCAGCAAAUCUGCCCUCUCUUCUGGCCUCAGUAGUUCCAACUGAUGGUCCAGCCUGCCGCCCUGUCCUUUCUGACCUGUGGGAUUGUUCCUGCUCCCUGGCUCUGUCCCUCCUGUAAGCGAACAUAAGUGAGGCCAUUUUGUUACGAUAAAUGGCCCCAGCCCCUCCCCCGUGUGACUACUCGCUGCUCUGCACUACUCUAAAAAAUUCACAUCUUCUCCUGAUUUAGGGCCUCCG
Molecule: long non-coding RNA, 1796 nt
Filed under: Equus caballus (horse)
Lineage: Eukaryota; Metazoa; Chordata; Mammalia; Perissodactyla; Equidae
Description: lncRNA (ENSECAG00000050034.1)
Source: RNAcentral